GCCAGCACGGGCUACCCCUUCUAACCCAUGGUUAUCCGAUGUUCUUUGGUCCAAACUCAGAGCAUCAUAGAGAAAAUGGCGCAAAUCAAAAGAUCUGUCUGACCUGAAACAACCAACUGGAUCCUAACCAGUCAGGCUUCAGGAGUGGCCAUUCAGCUGAGACUGCACUACUGUCAGUCACUGAAGCCCUACGGAUUGCAAAAGCUGAUUCCAAAUCAUCAGUUCUUAUUUUGCUGGAUCUAUCCGCUGCUUUUGACACAGUGAAUCAUCAGAUCCUCCUGUCCACCUUCUUAUCACUGGGCAUCACAGGGAUUCCACUUCGCUGGUUUGAAUCCUAUCUCACUGGUUACAGGCUUCAGGAGGAGAUAUUAAUUCGUAAGAGGGAGCAGAGGUAGGAUGGUGCGGAAGCAAGUGGCUGUUCUUUGCUUAGGUUUACUCCUGUUGCUGUCUUUACUGCACACCAAUCAGUCUGCACAUAUUGUGGCUAUGCAAAAAAUGGCAACAUUGGGUGAAGAUGCGGUUACAUAUCUGGAAAACGCAGCUGCUUCAGCCCUGAGGAAUCACACAGGGUCCCACUCAGUUGGAUGCAUUAAGGAAGCAAAGAAGCAUGAACACCUCAACUGCAAUCUCAUCUCUACAUUCAGCUCUUAUUUUCAGGAGGCAGCUGAUCUAAAGAGUCUCGACAAAGAGCUGUGCAACAAGCUGAAAGCUAUCAUACAGAACGUUGCGGAUCUAAAAAACGAGUUGCAAAGGUUACAAAAGUGCAGCAGGUAUUCAACAACCUGUGAGGCAGCCUUUCCAGGUAGUAAGGAAGCUUAUAAGAAUUUAGAAAAGCUGAGAAGCCUAAUUGUGCUUUUCAAACACUGGAUUGUUAAACCACUGGAAUGAUAUUACUGCUAAACACUCCAUCAUUCCCAUUUCUACUAAUGCUUUCACUAUUUAUUGUUGCUGGUUCAAUUAUUUGUUAAAAAUAUUAAUUGUCUUUGUUUUAUUUAUUUAUUUAUACAUAAAUGCAUUUUGUAGCAGAGAACUCAUUACUGCCUAAAAAUAUUUCUGCACAUCUAGGAGAAAUUCAUGAGAUGUUUAAAGUUUUCAGAUCUUUAUGCUUGUUUUCGAGCAGUCCAAUUUUUGUACAAUCUGACAAUGUCACAUACUGUGUAAUCAUGGUAAACAUGAUAUGAGUAUUUAGCAUUUGAAU
Long non-coding RNA from Cyprinus carpio carpio, 1198 nucleotides. The record is from Ensembl. Lineage: Eukaryota; Metazoa; Chordata; Actinopteri; Cypriniformes; Cyprinidae.